AAGACGUAUGGCCACCCAUGCCGAGCUGCCCCACAACAAAAAAGCAAACAAGCCUAAUGGUACUUGGCCACGAUGUCUUCGGUUGGGGCGACCGCGGAGGAAAACCUAGCCUCCAUGUGGACCGGGGGGACUAUUACUACCCCUAAAGCCAAGAGACACACCUCUAAGCAACAGAACAUCUGACCAAAAAUGAUCCGGGCCAAAGCCCGAUCAACGAACCAAGUUACCCC
RNAcentral lists this ribosomal RNA (230 nucleotides) under Elops saurus (ladyfish). RNAcentral's name for it is "partial 16S ribosomal RNA". The record is from RNAcentral. Lineage: Eukaryota; Metazoa; Chordata; Actinopteri; Elopiformes; Elopidae.